ACCAGGGCGAAAGCUGAUGCGUGACCCGCGUGAGGGACGACGGCCUUCGGGUUGUAAACCUCUUUCAGCAGGGACGAAGCGCAAGUGACGGUACCUGCAGAAGAAGCACCGGCUAACUACGUGCCAGCAGCCGCGGUAAUACGUAGGGUGCAAGCGUUGUCCGGAAUUACUGGGCGUAAAGAGUUCGUAGGCGGUUUGUCACGUCGUUUGUGAAAACUCACAGCUCAACUGUGAGCCUGCAGGCGAUACGGGCAGACUUGAGUACUGCAGGGGAGACUGGAAUUCCUGGUGUAGCGGUGAAAUGCGCAGAUAUCAGGAGGAACACCGGUGGCGAAGGCGGGUCUCUGGGCAGUAACUGACGCUGAGGAACGAAAGCGUGGGUAGCGAACAGGAUUAGAUACCCUGGUAGUCCACGCCGUAAACGGUGGGCGCUAGGUGUGGGUUCCUUCCACGGAAUCCGUGCCGUAGCUAACGCAUUACGCGCCCCGCCUGGGGAGUACGGCCGCAAGGCUAAAACUCAAAGGAAUUGACGGGGGCCCGCACAAGCGGCGGAGCAUGUGGAUUAAUCCGAUGCAACGCGAAGAAACUUACCUGGGUUUGACAUAUACCGGGAAAGCCGUAGAGAUACGGACCCCCUUGUGGUCGGUAUACAGGUGGUGCAUGGCUGUCGUCAGCUCGUGUCGUGAGAUG
RNAcentral lists this ribosomal RNA (690 nucleotides) under Rhodococcus sp. RK25. RNAcentral's name for it is "bacterial SSU rRNA". It matches the Rfam family "Bacterial small subunit ribosomal RNA", at positions 368 to 1074 of the family's 1533-position model. Lineage: Bacteria; Bacillati; Actinomycetota; Actinomycetes; Mycobacteriales; Nocardiaceae. The record is from RNAcentral.